Molecule: non-coding RNA, 73 nt
Organism: Stegodyphus mimosarum
Lineage: Eukaryota; Metazoa; Arthropoda; Arachnida; Araneae; Eresidae
Source: Rfam
GCUUUCGUGGUGUAGUGGUCAGCACGCUGGACGCGUAACCGAGAGGCUCGUGGUUCAAUUCGCGGCGAAGGCG